This 332-nucleotide ribosomal RNA is filed under the name uncultured bacterium. Its description in RNAcentral is "bacterial SSU rRNA". It matches the Rfam family "Bacterial small subunit ribosomal RNA", at positions 568 to 898 of the family's 1533-position model. The record is from RNAcentral.
CACGCAGGCGGUUUGGUAAGUCAGGGGUGAAAGCCCACAGCUUAACUGUGGGAUUGCCUCUGAUACUGCCUUUCUGGAGUGCAGGAGAGGGAAGCGGAAUUCCGAGUGUAGAGGUGAAAUUCGUAGAUAUUCGGAGGAACACCGGUGGCGAAGGCGGCUUCCUGGCCUGUAACUGACGCUCAGGCGCGAAAGCGUGGGGAGCAAACAGGAUUAGAUACCCUGGUAGUCCACGCCCUAAACGAUGGGCACUAGGUGUGGGAGGUAUCGACCCCUUCCGUGCCGCAGCUAACGCAUUAAGUGCCCCGCCUGGGGAGUACGGCCGCAAGGUUGAA